This 275-nucleotide ribosomal RNA is filed under the name uncultured bacterium. Its description in RNAcentral is "partial 16S ribosomal RNA". It matches the Rfam family "Bacterial small subunit ribosomal RNA", at positions 338 to 605 of the family's 1533-position model. The record is from RNAcentral.
CCUACGGGAGGCAGCAGUAAGGAAUAUUGGACAAUGGUCGCAAGACUGAUCCAGCCAUGCCGCGUGCAGGAUGACAGCCCUAUGGGUCGUAAACUGCUUUUGUGCGAGAAAAAACCCCCUCUACGUGUAGAGGGCGUGAUUGUAUCGUAAGAAUAAGGAUCGGCUAACUCCGUGCCAGCAGCCGCGGUAAUACGGAGGAUCCAAGCGUUAUCCGGAUUCAUUGGGUUUAAAGGGGUUAGCGUAGGCGGAAUGAUAAGUCAGUGGUGAAAGCCUGC